AAGAAAUGCAGCUGUCCAUCAGAAGUAGGAACAGUUUCUCUUGCUAUCAAGAGGUAAGGAAUGCACCUUCUCCUAGCAAUGGAGUGGAAACUAACCAAUCUGAGUGUACUUUCAGGUGAAGGAAGUGAAUCUAGCCUUUGCUGUCAAAGGCUACAAGCAGUUUCAUAAGAAUAAAGCAAGAUACAUAACCAAAGCUUCUGAGGUUACAGAAGUAUUGACUUGUUCCAAUCAAGACUAAGGAAACCACUUAUACCUACUAGAUUUUUAGCAGUACAGCUGAUCGUAUGGAGAGAAAGAGAGAAACCAAUCCAGCAAUUCAUCACGCAGAAGGAGGUCAUAUUUCGAGAUGCAAGGAUGACACAUGGCUGUAGUUUACAGGAAGGAAUUAGCGGAUCCAUCCUUUUAAGGAGAUGUCAAGAACAAAGUGGAACUGAUCAUUUCUAUCAAGAGGUAAGGAACGCACCUCCUCACAGCACGGGGGCAGGACUUAAAGGCUCUGUUUCUAUUUUCAGGUGAAAUGAAGGUCUUACCAUUCAAGGGAGGAUGAUAAGAGGCUGCUGAAUUGAAGAAAAAAAGACAGGGAGAAAAACUGUGGAUGACCUUACUUGUCAUGGGGAGAGUGUCAAAAGCAGACUCGGGACAAAUCUGAAUCAAGUCAGCAGACCAUCAGACAUGGAGGUAAGCAUUUACGUUUCCCUGGUUGACAAAUGAAUCUGAGGCUAAAGCGACACUUGCAGACCAAAUAAAGAGGUCACGUUGCAUCUCCAGAUGGAAGGAGACCAGAGGGCUGUUGUGUUCUAGCAGAAAUUAAUGCAAAUCCAACUAGCUGAACCAGGCAUGUCAGUUGGUAAAGAAAUGCACUUUUUUUCCCCUCUUAACAUUCAAGUGGCAAUGAAUAGAUUCUCACACUUUCAGAUGAGAGAAAUGCAGCCGAUUUGAACGUUGAGGGUGUGAAAACUUCAGGAAGUUGCUAGAAGAUCUGGGAUAUCUACAGAAAGGAAACAAGCAAAACUCAUCACUGCUACCAAGAGGUAAGGAACUCACCUUAGAAUGGAAAAAUUGAUGGAUCUGGUUUCCCUUCAGGUGAAAGAAAUGCAGCUGUCCGUCAGAAGUAGGAACAGUUUCUCUUGCUAUCAAGAGGUAAGGAAUGCACCUUCUCCUAGCAAUGGAGUGGAAACUAACCAAUCUGAGUGUACUUUCAGGUGAAGGAAGUGAAUCUAGCCUUUGCUGUCAAAGGCUACAAGCAGUUUCAUAAGAAUAAAGCAAGAUACAUAACCAAAGCUACUGAGGUUACAGAAGUAUUGACUUGUUCCAAUCAAGACUAAGGAAACCACUUAUACCUACUAGAUUUUUAGCAGUACAGCUGAUCGUAUGGAGAGAAAGAGAGAAACCAAUCCAGCAAUUCAUCACGCAGAAGGAGGUCAUAUUUCGAGAUGCAAGGAUGACACAUGGCUGUAGUUUACAGGAAGGAAUUAGCGGAUCCAUCCUUUUAAGGAGGUAAGAAAUACAAUACACCAUUCCCAUAAUAGUCAAUGGUUCUGGUCAUCCUUUCAGGUGGAAGGAAGGUAACGGAGGAAAUUUUCAUCUCUCUAAAGAGCAUGAGAAGUUGCUGUACUGAAUAAAGCACUAAAAAUGGGAGCUACCUGUUCAGAUGAAAGGAAAGUAGUUGGUAAUUCUAACCAAAGAUGAUGAUCUUUGUUCCUUUUCCUUCCCAGAGAAGGCCAUUGGUUGUUCCUACAAGGAUGGAACAGGGAAGUUAUUUCAAAGAACAAGUGCAACUAACCAGAGUGUGAAGAUGAGCAUUGAGCCUGCUCUUUCAUUUGCAGAGAGGAGUUGUCCAGCUGAUUCUAGUUGUGCCUAAUUGAUCAUUUUGCUUAUUUUUCAGAUGUCAAGAACUAAGUGGAACUGAUCAUUUCUAUCAAGAGGUAAGGAACGCACCUCCUCACAGCACGGGGGCAGGACUUAAAGGCUCUGUUUCUAUUUUCAGGUGAAAUGAAGGUCUUACCAUUCAAGGGAGGAUGGUAAGAGGCUGCUGAAUUGAAGAAAAAAAGACAGGUAAGGAUACCUGGCCAGAGGAAAGAAAAGCAUCUUUUACUUUUACUUCUAGUUCAGAAAAAGGCAAGCAGCCAUUUAUAUGCUUCAGGUUUUACCCAGCGUAGCUGGUUGUACCGCUAAGAAUCAAAGCCUUGCGGUGGAACAUGACUGACAAGUAGGUGAGCACUGAAAGGUCUCUAGAAGCCUAAUGAUCUGGAUGCUAAGGAACCUUCUCCAUAGAUGACUCUUCAUAGCUGCUAGUGAGUAAUAAUAAAUAAAUCUGUCAAACAUUGAUUGCAGGUUUUGCUGUGAGAUAUGAAGAGACCAGGUGGCCAUUCCUACCAGGGAGAAGUGAGGCUAAGUGGCGUGGCUGUCCCGGGCAAGGAGGUAAGAAAUACCAGUCUCCAAACAUCCAUGUGUACAUGAAGUGGUGUGGAUUUUGCUUUCAGGGAGAAAAACUGUGGAUGACCUUACUUGUCAUGGGGAGAGUGUCAAAAGCAGACUCGGGACAAAUCUGAAUCAAGUCAGCAGACCAUCAGACAUGGAGGUAAGCAUUUACGUUUCCCUGGUUGACAAAUGAAUCUGAGGCUAAAGCGACACUUGCAGACCAAAUAAAGAGGUCACGUUGCAUCUCCAGAUGGAAGGAGACCAGAGGGCUGUUGUGUUCUAGCAGAAAUUAAUGCAAAUCCAACUAGCUGAACCAGGCAUGUCAGUUGGUAAAGAAAUGCACUUUUUUUCCCCUCUUAACAUUCAAGUGGCAAUGAAUAGAUUCUCACACUUUCAGAUGAGAGAAAUGCAGCCGAUUUGAACGUUGAGGGUGUGAAAACUUCAGGAAGUUGCUAGAAGAUCUGGGAUAUCUACAGAAAGGAAACAAGCAAAACUCAUCACUGCUACCAAGAGGUAAGGAACUCACCUUAGAAUGGAAAAAUUGAUGGAUCUGGUUUCCCUUCAGGUGAAAGAAAUGCAGCUGUCCGUCAGAAGUAGGAACAGUUUCUCUUGCUAUCAAGAGGUAAGGAAUGCACCUUCUCCUAGCAAUGGAGUGGAAACUAACCAAUCUGAGUGUACUUUCAGGUGAAGGAAGUGAAUCUAGCCUUUGCUGUCAAAGGCUACAAGCAGUUUCAUAAGAAUAAAGCAAGAUACAUAACCAAAGCUUCUGAGGUUACAGAAGUAUUGACUUGUUCCAAUCAAGAAUAAGGAAACCACUUAUACCUACUAGAUUUUUAGCAGUACAGCUGAUCGUAUGGAGAGAAAGAGAGAAACCAAUCCAGCAAUUCAUCACGCAGAAGGAGGUCAUAUUUCGAGAUGCAAGGAUGACACAUGGCUGUAGUUUACAGGAAGGAAUUAGCGGAUCCAUCCUUUUAAGGAGAUGUCAAGAACUAAGUGGAACUGAUCAUUUCUAUCAAGAGGUAAGGAACGCACCUCCUCACAGCACGGGGGCAGGACUUAAAGGCUCUGUUUCUAUUUUCAGGUGAAAUGAAGGUCUUACCAUUCAAGGGAGGAUGGUAAGAGGCUGCUGAAUUGAAGAAAAAAAGACAGGUAAGGAUACCUGGCCAGAGGAAAGAAAAGCAUCUUUUACUUUUACUUCUAGUUCAGAAAAAGGCAAGCAGCCAUUUAUAUGCUUCAGGUUUUACCCAGCGUAGCUGGUUGUACCGCUAAGAAUCAAAGCCUUGCGGUGGAACAUGACUGACAAGUAGGUGAGCACUGAAAGGUCUCUAGAAGCCUAAUGAUCUGGAUGCUAAGGAACCUUCUCCAUAGAUGACUCUUCAUAGCUGCUAGUGAGUAAUAAUAAAUAAAUCUGUCAAACAUUGAUUGCAGGUUUUGCUGUGAGAUAUGAAGAGACCAGGUGGCCAUUCCUACCAGGGAGAAGUGAGGCUAAGUGGCGUGGCUGUCCCGGGCAAGGAGGUAAGAAAUACCAGUCUCCAAACAUCCAUGUGUACAUGAAGUGGUGUGGAUUUUGCUUUCAGGGAGAAAAACUGUGGAUGACCUUACUUGUCAUGGGGAGAGUGUCAAAAGCAGACUCGGGACAAAUCUGAAUCAAGUCAGCAGACCAUCAGACAUGGAGGUAAGCAUUUACGUUUCCCUGGUUGACAAAUGAAUCUGAGGCUAAAGCGACACUUGCAGACCAAAUAAAGAGGUCACGUUGCAUCUCCAGAUGGAAGGAGACCAGAGGGCUGUUGUGUUCUAGCAGAAAUUAAUGCAAAUCCAACUAGCUGAACCAGGCAUGUCAGUUGGUAAAGAAAUGCACUUUUUUUCCCCUCUUAACAUUCAAGUGGCAAUGAAUAGAUUCUCACACUUUCAGAUGAGAGAAAUGCAGCCGAUUUGAACGUUGAGGGUGUGAAAACUUCAGGAAGUUGCUAGAAGAUCUGGGAUAUCUACAGAAAGGAAACAAGCAAAACUCAUCACUGCUACCAAGAGGUAAGGAACUCACCUUAGAAUGGAAAAAUUGAUGGAUCUGGUUUCCCUUCAGGUGAAAGAAAUGCAGCUGUCCGUCAGAAGUAGGAACAGUUUCUCUUGCUAUCAAGAGGUAAGGAAUGCACCUUCUCCUAGCAAUGGAGUGGAAACUAACCAAUCUGAGUGUACUUUCAGGUGAAGGAAGUGAAUCUAGCCUUUGCUGUCAAAGGCUACAAGCAGUUUCAUAAGAAUAAAGCAAGAUACAUAACCAAAGCUUCUGAGGUUACAGAAGUAUUGACUUGUUCCAAUCAAGACUAAGGAAACCACUUAUACCUACUAGAUUUUUAGCAGUACAGCUGAUCGUAUGGAGAGAAAGAGAGAAACCAAUCCAGCAAUUCAUCACGCAGAAGGAGGUCAUAUUUCGAGAUGCAAGGAUGACACAUGGCUGUAGUUUACAGGAAGGAAUUAGCGGAUCCAUCCUUUUAAGGAGAUGUCAAGAACUAAGUGGAACUGAUCAUUUCUAUCAAGAGGUAAGGAACGCACCUCCUCACAGCACGGGGGCAGGACUUAAAGGCUCUGUUUCUAUUUUCAGGUGAAAUGAAGGUCUUACCAUUCAAGGGAGGAUGGUAAGAGGCUGCUGAAUUGAAGAAAAAAAGACAGGUAAGGAUACCUGGCCAGAGGAAAGAAAAGCAUCUUUUACUUUUACUUCUAGUUCAGAAAAAGGCAAGCAGCCAUUUAUAUGCUUCAGGUUUUACCCAGCGUAGCUGGUUGUACCGCUAAGAAUCAAAGCCUUGCGGUGGAACAUGACUGACAAGUAGGUGAGCACUGAAAGGUCUCUAGAAGCCUAAUGAUCUGGAUGCUAAGGAACCUUCUCCAUAGAUGACUCUUCAUAGCUGCUAGUGAGUAAUAAUAAAUAAAUCUGUCAAACAUUGAUUGCAGGUUUUGCUGUGAGAUAUGAAGAGACCAGGUGGCCAUUCCUACCAGGGAGAAGUGAGGCUAAGUGGCGUGGCUGUCCCGGGCAAGGAGGUAAGAAAUACCAGUCUCCAAACAUCCAUGUGUACAUGAAGUGGUGUGGAUUUUGCUUUCAGGGAGAAAAACUGUGGAUGACCUUACUUGUCAUGGGGAGAGUGUCAAAAGCAGACUCGGGACAAAUCUGAAUCAAGUCAGCAGACCAUCAGACAUGGAGGUAAGCAUUUACGUUUCCCUGGUUGACAAAUGAAUCUGAGGCUAAAGCGACACUUGCAGACCAAAUAAAGAGGUCACGUUGCAUCUCCAGAUGGAAGGAGACCAGAGGGCUGUUGUGUUCUAGCAGAAAUUAAUGCAAAUCCAACUAGCUGAACCAGGCAUGUCAGUUGGUAAAGAAAUGCACUUUUUUUCCCCUCUUAACAUUCAAGUGGCAAUGAAUAGAUUCUCACACUUUCAGAUGAGAGAAAUGCAGCCGAUUUGAACGUUGAGGGUGUGAAAACUUCAGGAAGUUGCUAGAAGAUCUGGGAUAUCUACAGAAAGGAAACAAGCAAAACUCAUCACUGCUACCAAGAGGUAAGGAACUCACCUUAGAAUGGAAAAAUUGAUGGAUCUGGUUUCCCUUCAGGUGAAAGAAAUGCAGCUGUCCGUCAGAAGUAGGAACAGUUUCUCUUGCUAUCAAGAGGUAAGGAAUGCACCUUCUCCUAGCAAUGGAGUGGAAACUAACCAAUCUGAGUGUACUUUCAGGUGAAGGAAGUGAAUCUAGCCUUUGCUGUCAAAGGCUACAAGCAGUUUCAUAAGAAUAAAGCAAGAUACAUAACCAAAGCUUCUGAGGUUACAGAAGUAUUGACUUGUUCCAAUCAAGACUAAGGAAACCACUUAUACCUACUAGAUUUUUAGCAGUACAGCUGAUCGUAUGGAGAGAAAGAGAGAAACCAAUCCAGCAAUUCAUCACGCAGAAGGAGGUCAUAUUUCGAGAUGCAAGGAUGACACAUGGCUGUAGUUUACAGGAAGGAAUUAGCGGAUCCAUCCUUUUAAGGAGAUGUCAAGAACUAAGUGGAACUGAUCAUUUCUAUCAAGAGGUAAGGAACGCACCUCCUCACAGCACGGGGGCAGGACUUAAAGGCUCUGUUUCUAUUUUCAGGUGAAAUGAAGGUCUUACCAUUCAAGGGAGGAUGAUAAGAGGCUGCUGAAUUGAAGAAAAAAAGACAGGUAAGGAUACCUGGCCAGAGGAAAGAAAAGCAUCUUUUACUUUUACUUCUAGUUCAGAAAAAGGCAAGCAGCCAUUUAUAUGCUUCAGGUUUUACCCAGCGUAGCUGGUUGUACCGCUAAGAAUCAAAGCCUUGCGGUGGAACAUGACUGACAAGUAGGUGAGCACUGAAAGGUCUCUAGAAGCCUAAUGAUCUGGAUGCUAAGGAACCUUCUCCAUAGAUGACUCUUCAUAGCUGCUAGUGAGUAAUAAUAAAUAAAUCUGUCAAACAUUGAUUGCAGGUUUUGCUGUGAGAUAUGAAGAGACCAGGUGGCCAUUCCUACCAGGGAGAAGUGAGGCUAAGUGGCGUGGCUGUCCCGGGCAAGGAGGUAAGAAAUACCAGUCUCCAAACAUCCAUGUGUACAUGAAGUGGUGUGGAUUUUGCUUUCAGGGAGAAAAACUGUGGAUGACCUUACUUGUCAUGGGGAGAGUGUCAAAAGCAGACUCGGGACAAAUCUGAAUCAAGUCAGCAGACCAUCAGACAUGGAGGUAAGCAUUUACGUUUCCCUGGUUGACAAAUGAAUCUGAGGCUAAAGCGACACUUGCAGACCAAAUAAAGAGGUCACGUUGCAUCUCCAGAUGGAAGGAGACCAGAGGGCUGUUGUGUUCUAGCAGAAAUUAAUGCAAAUCCAACUAGCUGAACCAGGCAUGUCAGUUGGUAAAGAAAUGCACUUUUUUUCCCCUCUUAACAUUCAAGUGGCAAUGAAUAGAUUCUCACACUUUCAGAUGAGAGAAAUGCAGCCGAUUUGAACGUUGAGGGUGUGAAAACUUCAGGAAGUUGCUAGAAGAUCUGGGAUAUCUACAGAAAGGAAACAAGCAAAACUCAUCACUGCUACCAAGAGGUAAGGAACUCACCUUAGAAUGGAAAAAUUGAUGGAUCUGGUUUCCCUUCAGGUGAAAGAAAUGCAGCUGUCCGUCAGAAGUAGGAACAGUUUCUCUUGCUAUCAAGAGGUAAGGAAUGCACCUUCUCCUAGCAAUGGAGUGGAAACUAACCAAUCUGAGUGUACUUUCAGGUGAAGGAAGUGAAUCUAGCCUUUGCUGUCAAAGGCUACAAGCAGUUUCAUAAGAAUAAAGCAAGAUACAUAACCAAAGCUUCUGAGGUUACAGAAGUAUUGACUUGUUCCAAUCAAGACUAAGGAAACCACUUAUACCUACUAGAUUUUUAGCAGUACAGCUGAUCGUAUGGAGAGAAAGAGAGAAACCAAUCCAGCAAUUCAUCACGCAGAAGGAGGUCAUAUUUCGAGAUGCAAGGAUGACACAUGGCUGUAGUUUACAGGAAGGAAUUAGCGGAUCCAUCCUUUUAAGGAGAUGUCAAGAACUAAGUGGAACUGAUCAUUUCUAUCAAGAGGUAAGGAACGCACCUCCUCACAGCACGGGGGCAGGACUUAAAGGCUCUGUUUCUAUUUUCAGGUGAAAUGAAGGUCUUACCAUUCAAGGGAGGAUGAUAAGAGGCUGCUGAAUUGAAGAAAAAAAGACAGGUAAGGAUACCUGGCCAGAGGAAAGAAAAGCAUCUUUUACUUUUACUUCUAGUUCAGAAAAAGGCAAGCAGCCAUUUAUAUGCUUCAGGUUUUACCCAGCGUAGCUGGUUGUACCGCUAAGAAUCAAAGCCUUGCGGUGGAACAUGACUGACAAGUAGGUGAGCACUGAAAGGUCUCUAGAAGCCUAAUGAUCUGGAUGCUAAGGAACCUUCUCCAUAGAUGACUCUUCAUAGCUGCUAGUGAGUAAUAAUAAAUAAAUCUGUCAAACAUUGAUUGCAGGUUUUGCUGUGAGAUAUGAAGAGACCAGGUGGCCAUUCCUACCAGGGAGAAGUGAGGCUAAGUGGCGUGGCUGUCCCGGGCAAGGAGGUAAGAAAUACCAGUCUCCAAACAUCCAUGUGUACAUGAAGUGGUGUGGAUUUUGCUUUCAGGGAGAAAAACUGUGGAUGACCUUACUUGUCAUGGGGAGAGUGUCAAAAGCAGACUCGGGACAAAUCUGAAUCAAGUCAGCAGACCAUCAGACAUGGAGGUAAGCAUUUACGUUUCCCUGGUUGACAAAUGAAUCUGAGGCUAAAGCGACACUUGCAGACCAAAUAAAGAGGUCACGUUGCAUCUCCAGAUGGAAGGAGACCAGAGGGCUGUUGUGUUCUAGCAGAAAUUAAUGCAAAUCCAACUAGCUGAACCAGGCAUGUCAGUUGGUAAAGAAAUGCACUUUUUUUCCCCUCUUAACAUUCAAGUGGCAAUGAAUAGAUUCUCACACUUUCAGAUGAGAGAAAUGCAGCCGAUUUGAACGUUGAGGGUGUGAAAACUUCAGGAAGUUGCUAGAAGAUCUGGGAUAUCUACAGAAAGGAAACAAGCAAAACUCAUCACUGCUACCAAGAGGUAAGGAACUCACCUUAGAAUGGAAAAAUUGAUGGAUCUGGUUUCCCUUCAGGUGAAAGAAAUGCAGCUGUCCGUCAGAAGUAGGAACAGUUUCUCUUGCUAUCAAGAGGUAAGGAAUGCACCUUCUCCUAGCAAUGGAGUGGAAACUAACCAAUCUGAGUGUACUUUCAGGUGAAGGAAGUGAAUCUAGCCUUUGCUGUCAAAGGCUACAAGCAGUUUCAUAAGAAUAAAGCAAGAUACAUAACCAAAGCUUCUGAGGUUACAGAAGUAUUGACUUGUUCCAAUCAAGACUAAGGAAACCACUUAUACCUACUAGAUUUUUAGCAGUACAGCUGAUCGUAUGGAGAGAAAGAGAGAAACCAAUCCAGCAAUUCAUCACGCAGAAGGAGGUCAUAUUUCGAGAUGCAAGGAUGACACAUGGCUGUAGUUUACAGGAAGGAAUUAGCGGAUCCAUCCUUUUAAGGAGAUGUCAAGAACUAAGUGGAACUGAUCAUUUCUAUCAAGAGGUAAGGAACGCACCUCCUCACAGCACGGGGGCAGGACUUAAAGGCUCUGUUUCUAUUUUCAGGUGAAAUGAAGGUCUUACCAUUCAAGGGAGGAUGAUAAGAGGCUGCUGAAUUGAAGAAAAAAAGACAGGUAAGGAUACCUGGCCAGAGGAAAGAAAAGCAUCUUUUACUUUUACUUCUAGUUCAGAAAAAGGCAAGCAGCCAUUUAUAUGCUUCAGGUUUUACCCAGCGUAGCUGGUUGUACCGCUAAGAAUCAAAGCCUUGCGGUGGAACAUGACUGACAAGUAGGUGAGCACUGAAAGGUCUCUAGAAGCCUAAUGAUCUGGAUGCUAAGGAACCUUCUCCAUAGAUGACUCUUCAUAGCUGCUAGUGAGUAAUAAUAAAUAAAUCUGUCAAACAUUGAUUGCAGGUUUUGCUGUGAGAUAUGAAGAGACCAGGUGGCCAUUCCUACCAGGGAGAAGUGAGGCUAAGUGGCGUGGCUGUCCCGGGCAAGGAGGUAAGAAAUACCAGUCUCCAAACAUCCAUGUGUACAUGAAGUGGUGUGGAUUUUGCUUUCAGGGAGAAAAACUGUGGAUGACCUUACUUGUCAUGGGGAGAGUGUCAAAAGCAGACUCGGGACAAAUCUGAAUCAAGUCAGCAGACCAUCAGACAUGGAGGUAAGCAUUUACGUUUCCCUGGUUGACAAAUGAAUCUGAGGCUAAAGCGACACUUGCAGACCAAAUAAAGAGGUCACGUUGCAUCUCCAGAUGGAAGGAGACCAGAGGGCUGUUGUGUUCUAGCAGAAAUUAAUGCAAAUCCAACUAGCUGAACCAGGCAUGUCAGUUGGUAAAGAAAUGCACUUUUUUUCCCCUCUUAACAUUCAAGUGGCAAUGAAUAGAUUCUCACACUUUCAGAUGAGAGAAAUGCAGCCGAUUUGAACGUUGAGGGUGUGAAAACUUCAGGAAGUUGCUAGAAGAUCUGGGAUAUCUACAGAAAGGAAACAAGCAAAACUCAUCACUGCUACCAAGAGGUAAGGAACUCACCUUAGAAUGGAAAAAUUGAUGGAUCUGGUUUCCCUUCAGGUGAAAGAAAUGCAGCUGUCCGUCAGAAGUAGGAACAGUUUCUCUUGCUAUCAAGAGGUAAGGAAUGCACCUUCUCCUAGCAAUGGAGUGGAAACUAACCAAUCUGAGUGUACUUUCAGGUGAAGGAAGUGAAUCUAGCCUUUGCUGUCAAAGGCUACAAGCAGUUUCAUAAGAAUAAAGCAAGAUACAUAACCAAAGCUUCUGAGGUUACAGAAGUAUUGACUUGUUCCAAUCAAGACUAAGGAAACCACUUAUACCUACUAGAUUUUUAGCAGUACAGCUGAUCGUAUGGAGAGAAAGAGAGAAACCAAUCCAGCAAUUCAUCACGCAGAAGGAGGUCAUAUUUCGAGAUGCAAGGAUGACACAUGGCUGUAGUUUACAGGAAGGAAUUAGCGGAUCCAUCCUUUUAAGGAGAUGUCAAGAACUAAGUGGAACUGAUCAUUUCUAUCAAGAGGUAAGGAACGCACCUCCUCACAGCACGGGGGCAGGACUUAAAGGCUCUGUUUCUAUUUUCAGGUGAAAUGAAGGUCUUACCAUUCAAGGGAGGAUGAUAAGAGGCUGCUGAAUUGAAGAAAAAAAGACAGGUAAGGAUACCUGGCCAGAGGAAAGAAAAGCAUCUUUUACUUUUACUUCUAGUUCAGAAAAAGGCAAGCAGCCAUUUAUAUGCUUCAGGUUUUACCCAGCGUAGCUGGUUGUACCGCUAAGAAUCAAAGCCUUGCGGUGGAACAUGACUGACAAGUAGGUGAGCACUGAAAGGUCUCUAGAAGCCUAAUGAUCUGGAUGCUAAGGAACCUUCUCCAUAGAUGACUCUUCAUAGCUGCUAGUGAGUAAUAAUAAAUAAAUCUGUCAAACAUUGAUUGCAGGUUUUGCUGUGAGAUAUGAAGAGACCAGGUGGCCAUUCCUACCAGGGAGAAGUGAGGCUAAGUGGCGUGGCUGUCCCGGGCAAGGAGGUAAGAAAUACCAGUCUCCAAACAUCCAUGUGUACAUGAAGUGGUGUGGAUUUUGCUUUCAGGGAGAAAAACUGUGGAUGACCUUACUUGUCAUGGGGAGAGUGUCAAAAGCAGACUCGGGACAAAUCUGAAUCAAGUCAGCAGACCAUCAGACAUGGAGGUAAGCAUUUACGUUUCCCUGGUUGACAAAUGAAUCUGAGGCUAAAGCGACACUUGCAGACCAAAUAAAGAGGUCACGUUGCAUCUCCAGAUGGAAGGAGACCAGAGGGCUGUUGUGUUCUAGCAGAAAUUAAUGCAAAUCCAACUAGCUGAACCAGGCAUGUCAGUUGGUAAAGAAAUGCACUUUUUUUCCCCUCUUAACAUUCAAGUGGCAAUGAAUAGAUUCUCACACUUUCAGAUGAGAGAAAUGCAGCCGAUUUGAACGUUGAGGGUGUGAAAACUUCAGGAAGUUGCUAGAAGAUCUGGGAUAUCUACAGAAAGGAAACAAGCAAAACUCAUCACUGCUACCAAGAGGUAAGGAACUCACCUUAGAAUGGAAAAAUUGAUGGAUCUGGUUUCCCUUCAGGUGAAAGAAAUGCAGCUGUCCGUCAGAAGUAGGAACAGUUUCUCUUGCUAUCAAGAGGUAAGGAAUGCACCUUCUCCUAGCAAUGGAGUGGAAACUAACCAAUCUGAGUGUACUUUCAGGUGAAGGAAGUGAAUCUAGCCUUUGCUGUCAAAGGCUACAAGCAGUUUCAUAAGAAUAAAGCAAGAUACAUAACCAAAGCUUCUGAGGUUACAGAAGUAUAGACUUGUUCCAAUCAAGACUAAGGAAACCACUUAUACCUACUAGAUUUUUAGCAGUACAGCUGAUCGUAUGGAGAGAAAGAGAGAAACCAAUCCAGCAAUUCAUCACGCAGAAGGAGGUCAUAUUUCGAGAUGCAAGGAUGACACAUGGCUGUAGUUUACAGGAAGGAAUUAGCGGAUCCAUCCUUUUAAGGAGAUGUCAAGAACUAAGUGGAACUGAUCAUUUCUAUCAAGAGGUAAGGAACGCACCUCCUCACAGCACGGGGGCAGGACUUAAAGGCUCUGUUUCUAUUUUCAGGUGAAAUGAAGGUCUUACCAUUCAAGGGAGGAUGGUAAGAGGCUGCUGAAUUGAAGAAAAAAAGACAGGUAAGGAUACCUGGCCAGAGGAAAGAAAAGCAUCUUUUACUUUUACUUCUAGUUCAGAAAAAGGCAAGCAGCCAUUUAUAUGCUUCAGGUUUUACCCAGCGUAGCUGGUUGUACCGCUAAGAAUCAAAGCCUUGCGGUGGAACAUGACUGACAAGUAGGUGAGCACUGAAAGGUCUCUAGAAGCCUAAUGAUCUGGAUGCUAAGGAACCUUCUCCAUAGAUGACUCUUCAUAGCUGCUAGUGAGUAAUAAUAAAUAAAUCUGUCAAACAUUGAUUGCAGGUUUUGCUGUGAGAUAUGAAGAGACCAGGUGGCCAUUCCUACCAGGGAGAAGUGAGGCUAAGUGGCGUGGCUGUCCCGGGCAAGGAGGUAAGAAAUACCAGUCUCCAAACAUCCAUGUGUACAUGAAGUGGUGUGGAUUUUGCUUUCAGGGAGAAAAACUGUGGAUGACCUUACUUGUCAUGGGGAGAGUGUCAAAAGCAGACUCGGGACAAAUCUGAAUCAAGUCAGCAGACCAUCAGACAUGGAGGUAAGCAUUUACGUUUCCCUGGUUGACAAAUGAAUCUGAGGCUAAAGCGACACUUGCAGACCAAAUAAAGAGGUCACGUUGCAUCUCCAGAUGGAAGGAGACCAGAGGGCUGUUGUGUUCUAGCAGAAAUUAAUGCAAAUCCAACUAGCUGAACCAGGCAUGUCAGUUGGUAAAGAAAUGCACUUUUUUUCCCCUCUUAACAUUCAAGUGGCAAUGAAUAGAUUCUCACACUUUCAGAUGAGAGAAAUGCAGCCGAUUUGAACGUUGAGGGUGUGAAAACUUCAGGAAGUUGCUAGAAGAUCUGGGAUAUCUACAGAAAGGAAACAAGCAAAACUCAUCACUGCUACCAAGAGGUAAGGAACUCACCUUAGAAUGGAAAAAUUGAUGGAUCUGGUUUCCCUUCAGGUGAAAGAAAUGCAGCUGUCCGUCAGAAGUAGGAACAGUUUCUCUUGCUAUCAAGAGGUAAGGAAUGCACCUUCUCCUAGCAAUGGAGUGGAAACUAACCAAUCUGAGUGUACUUUCAGGUGAAGGAAGUGAAUCUAGCCUUUGCUGUCAAAGGCUACAAGCAGUUUCAUAAGAAUAAAGCAAGAUACAUAACCAAAGCUUCUGAGGUUACAGAAGUAUUGACUUGUUCCAAUCAAGACUAAGGAAACCACUUAUACCUACUAGAUUUUUAGCAGUACAGCUGAUCGUAUGGAGAGAAAGAGAGAAACCAAUCCAGCAAUUCAUCACGCAGAAGGAGGUCAUAUUUCGAGAUGCAAGGAUGACACAUGGCUGUAGUUUACAGGAAGGAAUUAGCGGAUCCAUCCUUUUAAGGAGGUAAGAAAUACAAUACACCAUUCCCAUAAUAGUCAAUGGUUCUGGUCAUCCUUUCAGGUGGAAGGAAGGUAACGGAGGAAAUUUUCAUCUCUCUAAAGAGCAUGAGAAGUUGCUGUACUGAAUAAAGCACUAAAAAUGGGAGCUACCUGUUCAGAUGAAAGGAAAGUAGUUGGUAAUUCUAACCAAAGAUGAUGAUCUUUGUUCCUUUUCCUUCCCAGAGAAGGCCAUUGGUUGUUCCUACAAGGAUGGAACAGGGAAGUUAUUUCAAAGAACAAGUGCAACUAACCAGAGUGUGAAGAUGAGCAUUGAGCCUGCUCUUCCAUUUGCAGAGAGGAGUUGUCCAGCUGAUUCUAGUUGUGCCUAAUUGAUCAUUGUUGCUUAUUUUUCAGAUGUCAAGAACAAAGUGGAACUGAUCAUUUCUAUCAAGAGGUAAGGAACGCACCUCCUCACAGCACGGGGGCAGGACUUAAAGGCUCUGUUUCUAUUUUCAGGUGAAAUGAAGGUCUUACCAUUCAAGGGAGGAUGAUAAGAGGCUGCUGAAUUGAAGAAAAAAAGACAGGUAAGGAUACCUGGCCAGAGGAAAGAAAAGCAUCUUUUACUUUUACUUCUAGUUCAGAAAAAGGCAAGCAGCCAUUUAUAUGCUUCAGGUUUUACCCAGCGUAGCUGGUUGUACCGCUAAGAAUCAAAGCCUUGCGGUGGAACAUGACUGACAAGUAGGUGAGCACUGAAAGGUCUCUAGAAGCCUAAUGAUCUGGAUGCUAAGGAACCUUCUCCAUAGAUGACUCUUCAUAGCUGCUAGUGAGUAAUAAUAAAUAAAUCUGUCAAACAUUGAUUGCAGGUUUUGCUGUGAGAUAUGAAGAGACCAGGUGGCCAUUCCUACCAGGGAGAAGUGAGGCUAAGUGGCGUGGCUGUCCCGGGCAAGGAGGUAAGAAAUACCAGUCUCCAAACAUCCAUGUGUACAUGAAGUGGUGUGGAUUUUGCUUUCAGGGAGAAAAACUGUGGAUGACCUUACUUGUCAUGGGGAGAGUGUCAAAAGCAGACUCGGGACAAAUAACAUGGACUUGCCCAAA
Long non-coding RNA from Mauremys mutica (yellowpond turtle), 15075 nucleotides. RefSeq lists it as uncharacterized. The transcript has 20 exons. NCBI's taxonomy places the organism in Eukaryota, Metazoa, Chordata, Testudines, Geoemydidae. The record is from RefSeq and is a predicted model, not a curated record.